UGGACUUGAUCAACAGUGUCUAUACUAGACGGUUCGAAGACAGAAGCGUUAUGUGGAACUCUCAUCUGUGUGUCGGCGAUUAUUUUGAGAGGAAGUGGAUUUACAGUGGUCGGCUUGAUUUCGGUUAAGUUGGUGUCGUUGGCCGCGGAUCUAUGGCAAUGAUAGAGAUCCUAUAAGAACCCUUGAGAUUUAGAUUUUUUCCCAUCCGCUGUAUGUUUGGCUUUUUUCUCCAUGGUCUUAGUGAUAAGCCUAAUCUAUUUGUGUAGUCCACUGUUUCUUCGAAAACCAGCCGGAGGUUCUGUUCCUGUGUUCUUUUGAG
Molecule: long non-coding RNA, 319 nt
Filed under: Brassica napus (rape)
Lineage: Eukaryota; Viridiplantae; Streptophyta; Magnoliopsida; Brassicales; Brassicaceae
Description: long non-coding RNA (BNAP_LNC000787)
Source: RNAcentral